AAAAAUGGUUUUUAUACCCUUUACCCAAGGGGUAAAAGGGAAUUUUGGAAUUUUGUACUCAGAUUUGGCAAAUUCCACCAUUUAGACAUUAUGGGCCUGCAUGCCAAAUUUCAUAAGGAUAGGUCAAUUAUGAAGAAAGUUAUUGCCAUCAACAUAAUCUCUGCCGAAGCUCUACCCAAGCUCUUCCGCAGCUGCUGUUGUUGUUCCUGCUUUGACUUAUUUCUUUACUGUAAAUGUAUGCUGUUGAAAUUAUUUUGAAAAGUUUGCCAAACCGUCGAGCUUAUAUAGCGCCCGUAUGUGUGACAUGACCUUUUAACGCAUUAUGCAUGCAAAAUCUGAUCACGUGGACUCUGUUGGAAAGCUAAUUAUAGAUGUACAGAUAAUUUAAGCCAAAUUUAACAUUAUGGACUUUAAUGCUUUUCAUUAUACAUUGAAAUAUAAUUCAACAUUAUCGCAAGCCUGUGAUGGAACUAA
This is a long non-coding RNA of Scaptodrosophila lebanonensis, 474 nucleotides long. RefSeq lists it as uncharacterized. The transcript has 2 exons. The record is from RefSeq and is a predicted model, not a curated record. NCBI's taxonomy places the organism in Eukaryota, Metazoa, Arthropoda, Insecta, Diptera, Drosophilidae.